CCUUAAGGGCAAAGCAGUUGAAAAGCUGUGACGCAAAACUAAAGGGCCUUGGAACGAAUGUGGAGUGUUCUGUGGCAGCCAGUUGCCG
This 88-nucleotide non-coding RNA is filed under the name bovine gut metagenome. RNAcentral describes it as "Cyclic di-GMP-I riboswitch". It matches the Rfam family "c-di-GMP-I riboswitch aptamer". From Rfam's summary of the family: GEMM was predicted in a large-scale screen for bacterial structured RNA regulatory elements. The record is from RNAcentral.